This 2939-nucleotide long non-coding RNA is filed under the name Olea europaea subsp. europaea. The record is from RNAcentral. Lineage: Eukaryota; Viridiplantae; Streptophyta; Magnoliopsida; Lamiales; Oleaceae.
CAAAACAUCUCCCAAAGGGUCAUAGUGAAGUUGCUUCUACGAGUUCAGUCCACUGGGGAUCUUCCGAAAACACCCGUUUCAUCUGUAAGUUCUGCGAACUAUUAUGAAUUUUUGCUAAAUCCUACGCAUGUGCCUUGCGUGAUUUCGUACAAAGGGGUUGUUCGUUAAUUUUCUUUGGAAAUUGUUGUUAGAAGCUUCAAUGGCUGUAAAGCUUUCGUCUUUGAGAUUUUGCUGGAGAAUUCCCAAAUUGGUUUCUUCAAACGCCUAUAUUUCUUCAAUUUGUUGUGAAAAUAAAAUCCAAUCCAACCCAGAAACCUAUCAAAACCAAUCAGAUUACUCUGAGUUUGAAGCAAAGAUUCAAUUUCUAAAGAACAAGCUUCAUCCGGAAAGUUUAGUUUCUGUUUUGGAUAGCACGCCUGAUUUGAACUCUUCAACAAAGCUAUUUAAAUGGGCUUCCCUUCAAAACCGAUUUAACCAUACCGCAGAUACAUAUUAUAGGAUAAUACUGAAGUUGGGCAUGGCUGGAAAUGUAGAAGAAAUGGAGGGAUUUUGUAAUGAGAUGGUAAUUGAUAAAUGCUUGGGUUUCGGAGAAUCUCUCUUGGCAUUGAUAGAUUCAUUUGUUAAAAAUCAUAGGCUCAAUGAAGCUUUAAGGGUUCUCUAUGUUAUGAAUUUAAGCAGUUUUAAGCCCUCUUUAGGUGUUUUUAAUACGAUAAUGGGUGCACUUUUGGAAGAAAAGAAAGAAUUUAAGGAUGUGUUGUUUGUCUAUAAAGAAAUGGUGAAAUCAGGUAUUCUUCCAGAUAUUGAUACUAUGAAUUACCUGUUAGAUUCAUUGUUUGCAGCUGGGAGAGUGGAUACAGCUUUGGAUCAGUACAGAAGAUUGCAUAAGAAAGGAUGUAAUCCUAACAGUAGGACUUUUGGGAUACUCAUUAGUAGUCUAGUUGCUAGGAAUCGAGUGGAAGAAUCGAUUAUUUUGCUCGACGAGAUGUUUCAAAUUGGAUGUGAGCCGGAUUUAAAUUUCUAUAUCAGCGUAAUACCUAUAUUCUGUAGAUUGCAUAAUCUUGAGGUAGGCAUGAAGUUGUUUAGGAUGAUGAGAGCUUCUAACAUCUCUCCAGAUUCAGCUACGUAUGCGGCCUUGAUAAACUGUUUGUGUGACCAUCUUCAUUUGGAUGAUGCUACGAAACUUUUUGAAGAGAUGAUAGAUUGUGGCUUGUCGCCUGAGGAAGAAACAUUUUUGGAUAUAGUAAACGGGUUUUGCAAAUUAAAUAAAUUCACUGAAGCUAUUAUGUUUUUGGAGGAGAAAAAUGUAAUCGACACUUCUCCUUACAAUACACUUCUUGAAGCCUUUUGUGCCACUAGUAAUUUUUCUAUGGCAAAAAGUAUGUUUUAUAGAAUGUUUGGGAGGAAUAUAACUGAUGUUACGUCUUGCAAUAUCCUUAUCAGAUUCCUUUGUGAGAAUGCAGCGAUCAGUAAAGCAUUGGAGUUUUUAUGUAGGAUGAUCGUUUCUUUAUUUGUUCCUGACUCUGCUACUUAUUUUGCUCUUAUUACUGGUUACUGCAGAAUGGGGAAGUUUGAGGAUGCUCUGCAGUUGUUUUCCACCGUUAGAUCUAAAUGUUGGGUUUUGGAUUCUGUCUCAUAUGCUGAACUUGUUGAAUGUCUUUGCCAGAGGGAAAACACUCAAGAGGCAGCUAAAGUCUUUUGCUAUAUGUCUAGGAAGGGUUGCGCUCUUCGAUCUACCUCUUUCAAUAAGUUGAUUGAGGAGACUUGUGCAAGUGGAAAGGUCGACAGUGCUGCUAGGUUACUGUCGGUGGCUUACUACUCUGGUACUGUCUGUUUUUGUUCUACUUACAAUUGUAUCAUGCGAGGAUUAUUUAUGUUGGGCCACAUGGAUGAUAUCUUGGUCUUGGUUUCAAAGAUGAUGGUAGUUGGUUGUGCAUUUGAUGAAGAAACUUACUGCAUACUUAUUAAGAGCACGAGUGCUCUCAAUCGAGUAUCUGACUCCAUCUCUUUUUUCAACUUGAUGCUUGAGGAGGGUUUUUUACCCAGUUCUGAUACAUUAGUUUGUUUAUUGCAGUUUUUGGCUAAGUAUUCUCGAGUGCACUUAAUCUUGUCAUCAUUAGAUAAGCUUAAUUCCGAAAUUCUUGAUUCUGUGACUUACAACCAGUUGAUUAAUGGCCUCUGCGGAGAGGGAUACAAAAGUGAGGCAAAACAAUAUCUGGACUUGAUGUUGGAGAAAGCUUGGGUCCCAGAUGCCGCUACUCAUGCGUUACUGAUGGGUUCUGUCUCGAAAGAAGAAUUUGAGAUCCAAAAAUCUGCUUAUGAAAAUAGUGGCGCAUGUGAUGAGGUCAGUAGCAUACUAGCAGAGGGCUUGGUGGAAAGAUGACAGAUUCAUCUUCUUUUACAUUGAUCGGCUUUUGUGCAAUACUUGUUGACCAAGAGCUGGUUGAACUACUAAUUGAAUGUUCUGUUGCUAGAUCCCGUGGGAUAAUGAAUUGAGACAGGGCAUGUUCUCAAGGAAGUUCUUGCUUGCGAACUUCUUUAGUCCCAUUCCUCACGUUUACCGAGCCUUUGGGGCAGGUUUAUUCAUCUCCUAUAUCUUGUUUGCUUAACGUUUCUGCACAUUGUCGUAAGUGGCUGAGUCCUCUUUAUUUUUCUCUCAGGAAGGAUGCUCGGAAGUUCGAAGCGUUAUUAAAGGAUUAUUGUACGUUUUCAGGCGCAAGUGACUACAGAAUUUGACUCGAGUUCCAUUUUCACUUGUACAACCUCAACUUUGGCCCCUGAAAUGUUUUCCUAGCUUCUUAUAAUGUUUCUUAGGGCUUGGCGAGUCAGCACGGGUGGCCGUUGAAUGUCGACCGUGGACCGUCGGUGCAAUAAAAUAUUAAGAGCUCGUUUGAUAUCUUUUUUUGCAAAAAAUGCAUUUUAGAAUAGUGAUUUGAUGGAGA